GGGAGUAGAUAGCGGCCUGGUGGCGCUCCUGGACUUCAAAUCCUGUGGUGGGCUUAUAAACCCACGGUGGGUUCGAUUCCCAUCUACUCCCGCCA
This 95-nucleotide transfer RNA is filed under the name Bacillota bacterium. RNAcentral describes it as "Firmicutes bacterium (anaerobic digester metagenome) tRNA-Sec". It matches the Rfam family "Selenocysteine transfer RNA". RNAcentral also lists the same sequence under 1 other name. Lineage: Bacteria; Bacillati; Bacillota. The record is from RNAcentral.